CUUCGGAAACAUCUCAGAGAGGUCCAGGAGCAGGCCACGACCCUGGGGACAGAGCAGAGCACCCUGGAAGGGGAGCUGGCCAAUGUACGCACCCGAGCUGAGCAGGACCAGCAGAGACUGGAGAUGCUGAGUGCCUGUGUCUUGGAGCUGGAGGAAUAUCUGGGUACCACGGAAAGGUUGGUUCAGGAGCUUCAGAGAGAGCGGCUGCAAUUGAAGGAGGAGUGGAGCACAUUGAGCAUCCAACUGGAGGAGCAGGAGAGGAGGUUUCAGGUCGCAGAAGCAGCUCUGUCAAGCAGCCAAGAAGAGGUGGUGUGUCUUUGGCAGAAGACUGAAGCCCAGGUGACCUUACUGGCUAAGCAAGGAGACCAGCUCUAUGGGUUAGAGAUGGAACGGGACGACUCCACAACCAGCUGCAGGAACUGAAGGGCAAUAUCUGGGUGUUCUGCCACGUGCGCCCUGUCCUCGCAGGGGAAUCCACUCCAUCUCCUGGCUUCCUCGUGUUUCUUCCUGGCCCUGCUGGACCCUCUGAUCCCCCGACUCGCCUUAGCCUCUCACUGUCGGCG
RNAcentral lists this long non-coding RNA (563 nucleotides) under Mus musculus (house mouse). RNAcentral describes it as "predicted gene, 63651". Lineage: Eukaryota; Metazoa; Chordata; Mammalia; Rodentia; Muridae. The record is from RNAcentral.